UUGGUGUUGGGCGACGGCCUGCCCGACAGCUUCGACCUGCUGGGGCCGCUGGGCAUCGGCGGGCUGUUCGAGGCGCUGCUGCACCAGG
Molecule: transfer RNA, 88 nt
Filed under: Phytohabitans rumicis
Lineage: Bacteria; Bacillati; Actinomycetota; Actinomycetes; Micromonosporales; Micromonosporaceae
Description: tRNA-Arg
Source: RNAcentral